RNAcentral lists this transfer RNA (68 nucleotides) under Symphylella sp. YG-2006. Its description in RNAcentral is "tRNA-Ser". The record is from RNAcentral. Lineage: Eukaryota; Metazoa; Arthropoda; Symphyla; Scolopendrellidae.
UAUCAAUAUUUAAAGAUAAAAACUUAAGCCGCUAACUUAUAAACCAUAAGAUAAAAUCUUAUUUAUCU